AACCUUAUGGACCUGCGGGCGUAUACCUGCGGAGGGAUCAUUACCUAGAGUUGCGGGCUUUGCCUGCCAUCUCUUACCCAUGUCUUUUGAGUACCUUCGUUUCCUCGGCGGGUUCGCCCGCCGGUUGGACAACACUUAAACCCUUUGUAAUUGAAAUCAGCGUCUGAAAAAACUUUAAUAGUUACAACUUUCAACAACGGAUCU
This 204-nucleotide unclassified non-coding RNA is filed under the name soil metagenome. Its description in RNAcentral is "partial contains 5.8S ribosomal RNA, internal transcribed spacer 2, and large subunit ribosomal RNA". The record is from RNAcentral.